GGAUCUUCCUGACCCAAGGAUCAGACCCGUGUCUCCUGCUUAACAGGUGGAUACUCUGCCACUGAGCCACCUGGGAAGCCCCUUGUGAUAUAAUAGCAGGAGGUUUAUCCACACUGUCACCUGAAGUAACAUGGAAAGUAGAAUAGCACCUGAUGAAUGGUGAUGUCUAAGGAAAUUUUUAUACAGAGUGUUGAAGGUAUGGCCUGGUCUCUUGCUGCUUAUAGUAAAAUGCAAAUUAAGCCAAAAGGACAGUUAAAAGCAAUCAGGACUUCAUGGUUUUGAAAACUCCUGGCCUUCUCACAUGACAACUGAUCUUUAAAUUAAGAAAUGAUUUGUAGCAAAGAUUAAAUCCAAAAGGACACACAAAGGACACAGCCAGGAAAACAUGGUCUAAAGAUAAAUCCAAGGAUGUUAUUGUCAAAUCCCUUGUUAAGAUCUCAUAAAGAUCAAAGAUGAUUCUUCAGAGGACAUUUAGGCAGACAAAAUUCUAAUGAAAUUUUUAGUGUGCCUCACAGUCUUAAUCAAACAAUGGAGCAUCUAAGAAAUUGGAGGGUGUUGUUCUUCAGCAGACUCUCAAGGUUGAGAAGGGCUUAUUGUAAAGAGAUUUGAGGAUUUGGCUCUUGAAUAAUGAUGUGGACUGAAUAAGAUUCAUAGGAGAUCUGCAAAGUUUUUUGAAGAACUGGAUUGGAAUAAACAUUGCCAGCUUGGACUAAAAGUGGGUGUGUCUGAAAGGGGAUGAGUGUAUUUUGCAGAUACCAAUACGUGAACAGUGCCAUGGUCGGGUGGGAGCAGGAGGCAGUUAAAGAAGAAUACUGAAAAGAGGAAGAAGACAAGAAGCCAGAUAAUGGUCACUUCAAACUUUGCCUUAAUCGCCAGUGCUUUCUCCACUCACUCAAGUUUGAGAAAUCCUCGUUCAGAGCUAUGCUUCUCAUUGGUCUGUGAAGGCCCUUCUCUGGUUAUUUACUUAUUUAUUCCCCUUUAUUCCAAAGCCCAUUCCUAUCCUUUCAUCCAACAGAGAUACUACCUUUAAUCCGUUUAAGAACUGACCUUAACAGAUGAACAAGGUCCUACCCAGGAAACUACACUCAAUAUCCUAUGAUAAACCAUAGUGGAAAAGAAUAUGUAUAACUGAAUGUUUUGCUGUACAAUAGAAAUUAACACAACAUUGUAAAUCAACUACACUUCAAUAAAAUUUUUAAAAAAGAAUUGGCCUUAAACCUACACUUUUAAACCUAAAGAGUGUUAUUACGAGAGCAUAUAUAUAUUUUCAAU
Bos taurus (domestic cattle) is the source of this 1272-nucleotide long non-coding RNA. NCBI's taxonomy places the organism in Eukaryota, Metazoa, Chordata, Mammalia, Artiodactyla, Bovidae. The record is from Ensembl.